RNAcentral lists this transfer RNA (84 nucleotides) under Flavobacterium psychrotolerans. RNAcentral's name for it is "Flavobacterium sp. RB1R5 tRNA-Leu". It matches the Rfam family "tRNA". Rfam says of the family: Transfer RNA (tRNA) molecules are approximately 80 nucleotides in length. Their secondary structure includes four short double-helical elements and three loops (D, anti-codon, and T loops). Further hydrogen bonds mediate the characteristic L-shaped molecular structure. tRNAs have two regions of fundamental functional importance: the anti-codon, which is responsible for specific mRNA codon recognition, and the 3' end, to which the tRNAs corresponding amino acid is attached (by aminoacyl-tRNA synthetases). tRNAs cope with the degeneracy of the genetic code in two manners: having more than one tRNA (with a specific anti-codon) for a particular amino acid; and 'wobble' base-pairing, i.e. permitting non-standard base-pairing at the 3rd anti-codon position. Lineage: Bacteria; Pseudomonadati; Bacteroidota; Flavobacteriia; Flavobacteriales; Flavobacteriaceae. The record is from RNAcentral.
GAGAAUGGCUGAAUGGUUAAGGCAGCAGUCUUAAAAACUGUGGGUUCAGAAAUGGGCUUGUGGGUUCAAAUCCCACAUCUACCG